This 98-nucleotide ribosomal RNA is filed under the name uncultured bacterium. RNAcentral describes it as "partial 16S ribosomal RNA". It matches the Rfam family "Bacterial small subunit ribosomal RNA", at positions 395 to 508 of the family's 1533-position model. The record is from RNAcentral.
CGCCGCGUGAGGGAUGAAGGCCUUCGGGUUGGUAAACCUCUUUCAGCAGGGACGAAAACAGACGGUACCUGCAGAAGAAGCACCGGCCAACUACGUGC